UUGGAGGGCAAGUCUGGUGCCAGCAGCCGCGGUAACUCCAGCUCCAAUAGCGUAUAUUAAAGUUGCUGCAGUUAAAAAGCUCGUAGUUGAAUUUCGGGACCAUCAUGUCGGUCGUGCCUCGGUACGUACUGGCAUUGUUGGUUUCUCCCUUCUGACGAACCAUGAUGUCAUUUAUUUGGUGUUGUGGGAAAUCAGGACUGUUACUUUGAAAAAAUUAGAGUGUUUAAAGCAGGCUCACGCUUGAAUACAUUAGCAUGGAAUAAUGAAAUAGGACGUUUGAUUCUAUUUUGUUGGUUUCUAGGAUCGACGUAAUGAUUAAUAGGGAUAGUUGGGGGCAUUAGUAUUCAAUUGUCAGAGGUGAAAUUCUUGGAUUUAUUGAAGACUAACUACUGCGAAAGCAUUUGCCAAGGAUGUUUUCAUUAAUCAAGAACGAAAGUUAGGGGAUCGAAGACGAUCAGAUACCGUCGUAGUCUUAACCAUAAACUAUGCCGACUAGGGAUCGGAUGAUGUUAAUUUUUUAAUGACUCAUUCGGCGCCUUACGGGAAAC
RNAcentral lists this ribosomal RNA (548 nucleotides) under uncultured Glomeromycotina. RNAcentral's name for it is "SSU rRNA". It matches the Rfam family "Eukaryotic small subunit ribosomal RNA", at positions 548 to 1098 of the family's 1831-position model. Lineage: Eukaryota; Fungi; Glomeromycota. The record is from RNAcentral.